UCUACUUCCGGGACACGCCCACUUUAGCAAAGGUUUUCCCGGAAGCCUCCCAAAGGCUCCUGGAGGACGUCGGUUGCUGCUGUCUCCUCGCAGCACCGAGGUUUGGGCCUUAUUUUAGUUUUAAGCGCGGGCACCUGAGCCGGCUGGGGCGCUGAGGAACGCCUGCGGGAGGAGGGGGAGGGCGAAGUCCGAGGGGCUGGGGAGUCCCUUGGAGCUCGCGAGGGCCGAUCUGGAGCUACGCCGGGAGGGGCUUGGGCUGGACCUACGGGGGUCAGGGAGCGGAGGGCGCGUCAGAAGGGUGUCGAAGGCAAGAAUGGAUGGGACGCUGCGACGGACGUCCCCUGACCCACGAGUGUGGAGCACCCACUACGUGUUGGGCCCUGUCAGGCUCUGCCCUCGUGGACCCUCCAUUCUAGUGGGACGCAGCCAAACGAGGUGAAGGGACUGAGGCACAGAGAGGUCAUGUGCUCAAGGCUGACGGUACAGGGAGAUGCUGGGGCCCCGAGCUCCCUCCUUCUUCGUCACCGCAUCCACAGCUCCGAUGGUUUUAACUACCAGUGAAGGGCCCAUGGCCUGCACCAGGCACUGAGAGUGUCCUUUUUAUUUUUAUCAUAAGUAAAAAAAAAAACUGCAUUUCAUCGUAUUUUGCAUUUAAGUUGGGGAGUUCAUGUUUUUUAUAUUAAUACACACUUUUUGCGUAUUAAGACAAAGAGGUGAUGACUAUGCGAUUUAAAAACUGCAUAUGGAAUGAUGUGCACGCACUGUUUGAUGCUUUUAGGGUCACAUUAUGGAAGGGGGAGUCCGGCAACUGCUCGCAGGGCUUGGCUGAGCCCCAUGUUUGCACAUACAGGGGUGGCCUCUUCCACGGCAGCCUGUGUUUCGCUCUCUGGGGCCCAUCCAUUACACAACCAGCUCCCUUUAAUGAACAUAACUGGGGUUAUUUGCAGUUUUUAUCUUUUUCAAGUGAUGCUGCAAUGAACAUUCUUUCAUUUAUGUACUUGCACAUUUGUGAGGGUGUAUCUACUGGGUAAUUUACUGGAAUGAAGAUUUUGGUAAGUAUUGUCCAGUUGUUUUUUGUAAAGAUUACAUCAAUACAUAUUUCCACUAAGACUCUAUAAACAGGACAUGUCUCCAUCCCCUCCCCUCAUCCUUGCCAAUUUGCUAAAUCUUUUCCCAUUUAUAUGAAAAUGGGAAGUACUGACUUCUGCCCCCACUGGUCCCAAUCACCUUCCCUGAAGCUUUACCUUAGCAAGGGGAGGUAGCGUCUUGCUGCUUAUUCACAGUCCAGUGGUGUUUAUCUUCCUGUGAAUGCUGGUCACGUUCUUUGCUCAUUUUGCACUUGGACCUUUUUUGUGUGCAAGAGCUUUUUGUACAUUUAGGAAAUUUGCCAUUGGCGCUGGUACCGUAAACGGUUCAGACACAUCAGUCUCUUUCUUCUGGCUCUUAGAGUCUGUCAGAGCGAAAAGGUGCUCCCUCCACCCAACCUACAAAAACCGUUACUGUUUUACUAUGUUCAGUGUUCUGGUUCCUGGAGAAUUGGAGUAAGGACCGAGGCAGCGUCGUUGCUUUCUCAGUGGUCCAGUCAGCUGUCUCUGAACCACCGAGCGAACUCUCCCAUCUUUCCUCCACUCCUUCCACUUGGUGCCUUCAUCAUGAAUUCCGUGACGGUGAGACACAUGUGUCCACCCUGCUCUCUCCAUGGCAACACACUUUCAUGUCGGGGCUCAAUCCCUCUUGUGCCUCUGCUCUUCCAGUUUCCUGCUAUUUUUAUGUUUUUAUCUCCUAGGUAAACAUUAGAAUAAUUUGGUCCAGUCCCCAAAAAGAACUGUGGUGUUCCGAUUGGGGUCACUGAUUUUAUAGACUAAGGGAGAGUUAACAUCUUUACAUUAUUGAGGUUCUCUAAUUCAGAACAAGAGUUCUUUAGAGUUUUAAAACGUUUUCACGUAGGAACACGAAUCUUUUUUAGGACUCUUGAUACAUAUUACCUGUACUAGUUUUCAAUUACUGUCUAACAAAUCACCACAAAUUUAGUGGCUGGCUUAAAACAGUACCUGUAUUUGUCAUCUCCAAUUCUGUUGGUCCUAAGUCCAGGCUACGAUCCAGCUGUCAGCCAGACUGCAUCUUCUCUCGGGCCUGGGGCCUUCCAAACUCAUUCAGGCUGCUGGGUAGAGGUUCGUUCUUUAUGGGUGAGGGACUGACGUCCCUGCUUUCUUGCUGGCCGUUGGUAGAGGUUGCUCACAGCUCCUCUCACAAUGUGGCAGCUUAAAAAAAAUUUCUUUUGAGAUAUGAUUGACACGGUAGCUUCCUUCUUCACAGCCACCUGACACUGACUUUUUAAAAAAGGCUUCUCUGGUUAGGUCUGGCUGACCCAGAAUAAACUCCGUUUGAAGUCAAAACCAAUGGAUUACUAACGGGAUCACAGGAGUAACACCCAUCUUCUUCACAGGCCCCACCCACAUUCAAGGGGCAGACAGGGAUCUUGGGGCCUGAGAAUCCCGCCUACCACAUUACCAAGUUGUCUUCAGGAAAAUCGGUAUUUCCAUCAACAAUGUGUCAGAGCACUUGAUCUGUUGUGUGUUAUUCUUUGACCUUUCAUAUGAUGCAAAUAUUUUUUGACCUUACCAUUUGUUUUACGUUUGUUUGUAGAGGAUUUGGGGAGAUGUUUUACUUUUUAACGUAGUCAGAUUCUUCAGUUAUCUCUUUGUAAUGUCUUUGUUUUGACUCUUAGAAAGACGAUCCCCACUGAGGACUCAUAUUAAAAUGUACCUAUUUUUGUAGUCA
This is a long non-coding RNA of Felis catus (domestic cat), 2781 nucleotides long. RefSeq lists it as uncharacterized. The record is from RefSeq and is a predicted model, not a curated record. The transcript is spliced from 2 exons. Lineage: Eukaryota; Metazoa; Chordata; Mammalia; Carnivora; Felidae.